RNAcentral lists this long non-coding RNA (2031 nucleotides) under Salvator merianae (Argentine black and white tegu). RNAcentral describes it as "lncRNA (ENSSMRG00000006239.1)". The record is from RNAcentral. Lineage: Eukaryota; Metazoa; Chordata; Lepidosauria; Squamata; Teiidae.
GCCGGAGACGUGGAGGGAAGCGGGCGUCAUCAGGCCGCGCCGUCGCGCGACGGUCGCGACGAGAUGACGCCCACUUGGCGCUUGAGUAGUCAUGGAGACUGGGCCCCGCAGGCGCGUCUCCUUGAGACUGAUUCCGCAAGGGCUGCUGGGAAAAAUAGUGAAGCGUUAAUGGGCGGCUUCCAUAGCCAGGAGUCGGACGUGGUUGGUAACAAGAGAUGCUUGCUUCUGAAUCUCACUUUCAAAUGGAGCCAAGCUUGUUGAAGAGAACGUUAAUUAACUAAUUAAUUAAAAAAAAUUCAGCCCUCACCCUCUUCCGUGCGAACUAUUCAGGGCAUCCCUACCUGAGAUACAGACAAGCCUUGCUCAGCAUAACAGCAGGAGGUUUUCCCCCACAACUAGGCUAAAGCGUUUCCACAAAGAAGACUUUUGGCUCCUGUGCAAAUUCGCCUUGGAGCUGCUGAUUUAUUCAGGCAGUUGNUGGGCCUUUUUUUUUUGGAACAGUCUUUCCGGCAGUGCUGCGAAGGAGAUUCCCUUGGGAGGCUGCAACGGGCUCAAGAUUGGCUCAUGGAGUGCGAUCGAAUUUGACCCCCGGGGUCUCAGCCCAGGUGCAGAACACCAAAGACUGGACCAGAACAAGACAACUUGGGAUGGUUGUAGUUCUCUUCAAACAGCUAAUCUGGGAUAAGGAUCCCUUGGAGUGGCUCUGGACUGAGAGGGCCUGUUCGCACUUACCUGACCAUUAUACCAUACAGGCAGGUGAGGUUGAAGCAUGGUGGGUGCCAUUUGCAGUGUGUGCACUGGACCAACCUCAUACCUGNCUAGCAACGCAAACGGGCUAGCUGGAUCGCCACAGUGAAGUCCAAACCAGCAUCCAGUGCUCGGUCAGAUGUUGCCAUGGUGAUCUGGAUGGUGUGAAUGACUGCGCAGCCACNGUUGCGUAGNCCACACCUCCUUGUCGUGCCAUACCUGGAAGUGUGGAACCACCUUCUCNGGAGCAAUCCAGCUGGGUCACUCCUGGGAGGGGUUAGGCAACGCCAGGUGAACUGUGGCAGCGUUGUGCGUGGAUGGGCCUGACCAGCGAGAGGAUUGGAGUGCUCCAGUUGGUAAGUGCAAACAAGCCUAGAUAAAGUGCGCCAAGGAGGCCUCUAGGGUCUAGACCCUUCUUAUCACAGGACAGUGUCCCAGGCAGAAAGGAUCCCACUGUAACAACACUGGAUGCAGUUUUCAGCAGGCACAGAAUGAGUUUGCCAUUCUGUAUUUCUGGGGAGAUGCUGGGUUAUCAGCAGCAACCAGUGAGGCAGAUCACCAAUGAAAGUCCCUCCGCCCGCCCCCCGGCAUUCCUUAGCAGGCUUGCUGCAAAUCAGGUUGUUUCUGAAGCAGCUUAAACACUUUAAAAAGCUUGCCAACAAACAAGGUGUGUUUGGGGAAAUCUGUUUGCAAACACUAGGGAUGUGCACACAAAAAAAUCAUUUUUGAUUCAUUUUCGAGUGAAAAUCUGCAUUUUUGCUUCAUCGGCGAAUUUCGUUGUCAAAAAAAUGCAUUCAUUUUUGCAUUUUUCACAGUGUUCUCCCAUUGACAAUGCCAUUGAAAAUACCACUUUCAGGGUUUAAACACAGCGAAAAAUGCAAAAAAUUGACAAAUUUCGUUUUCACAAAAGAAGUAACUUUUUCGUUUUCAAUUGAAAAUGUAAAUGCAAAGAAACUCAUUUUCGUUUCAAUGCAAAAAUUUGUGAAAAUGAAAUUUCGUAUGAACUUUUGAAUGCAAAUUGAAAUUUGCACACCCCUAGGAAACACCCCUCACCCAGUAAUUGCUGUUGAGGAUUAAACCAGUGACCCUCUGCUCUAACAUAGGGCACAUCCACUCCAGCAGUAAACCUAUUGAAAUACAAAAACCUUCUUGAUAUUUACCUAAAAUUUUAAAACACCAAGCCUCAAAAUGGCAAAGGCUUUGGUUUUAUGUGGAGACAUGGAACAUUCAGGUAUUAUUAUGCACAGAAAUAAAAUCAAAGGAAAUCACUGUUUUUAUUUAAUU